Molecule: long non-coding RNA, 559 nt
Organism: Lethenteron reissneri (Far Eastern brook lamprey)
Lineage: Eukaryota; Metazoa; Chordata; Hyperoartia; Petromyzontiformes; Petromyzontidae
Source: RefSeq, a predicted model, not a curated record
AGCCCAAGCCCGCUCGAGCUGCUAUACCGCUCUCGUUUUCAGAAGCGACCUGCCAACAACAACAAGUCGGGCAUAUUUGCGGAAUACACCACGCCGCCGUUGACCCUGCAGGCCAUUGACCGAGCAACCCAACGUUCCUACCAGCUCCCUCCGCAGGAAUGAGGCACUCUCAUCCUGAAUAACCGUUCAGCAGGAAGCGGAGAGUGGGAGUGUGCGCGCAGUGAAGGACAGUGGCCUUGAACAAAACCGCCGGCUACUGAAGAAUAUGUACAGCGUUGCCGACCUGCUGGCUUCCCAUGGCUUCAGGUCGGGCAGGAGGCCGACAUCCGGCAGCAGCAGCAGCACACAGCCUCCACUCCGGAUGGAGCCGCCCCGGUCAGGGCUGGAGCAGGGGUUUCCUGGCCAGGAUGUGUGGCACGACGCACCGCCCGCUCCCCGCGCCACACGUCACUCCAGCCUGCCACUACAAGAGCACCCCGCAAGGGCCGAGCCCUCCAGGGAAAGGGCAGAGCUCGUAAGUGAAAAGGCGAACUAUGAAGAGGGGCAAAUGCAGCCCCAA